Molecule: transfer RNA, 74 nt
Filed under: Pseudocercospora pini-densiflorae CBS 125139
Lineage: Eukaryota; Fungi; Ascomycota; Dothideomycetes; Mycosphaerellales; Mycosphaerellaceae
Description: tRNA-Leu (CAG) (tRNA-Leu-CAG-1-1)
Rfam family: tRNA
About the family: Transfer RNA (tRNA) molecules are approximately 80 nucleotides in length. Their secondary structure includes four short double-helical elements and three loops (D, anti-codon, and T loops).
Source: RNAcentral
GGAGAAGUAGUUCAAUGGUUAGAAUCCUCGCAGUCAGCUUGCGAGGGAUGUUGGUUCGAAUCCGACCUUCUUCG